CCUACGGGAGGCAGCAGUGGGGAAUUUUGGACAAUGGGCGAAAGCCUGAUCCAGCAAUGCCGCGUGCAGGAUGAAGGCCUUCGGGUUGUAAACUGCUUUUGUACGGAGCGAAACGGCCAUCUCUAAUAAAGAUGGCUAAUGACGGUACCGUAAGAAUAAGCACCGGCUAACUACGUGCCAGCAGCCGCGGUAAUACGUAGGGUGCGAGCGUUAAUCGGAAUUACUGGGCGUAAAGCGUGCGCAGGCGGUUUUGUAAGACAGAUGUGAAAUCCCCGGGCUCAACCUGGGACCUGCAUUUGUGACUGCAAAGCUAGAGUACGGUAGAGGGGGAUGGAAUUCCGCGUGUAGCAGUGAAAUGCGUAGAUAUGCGGAGGAACACCGAUGGCGAAGGCAAUCCCCUGGACCUGUACUGACGCUCAUGCACGAAAGCGUGGGGAGCAAACAGGAUUAGAUACCCUGGUAGUCCACGCCCUAAACGAUGUCAACUGGUUGUUGGGUCUUUGCUGACUCAGUAACGAAGCUAACGCGUGAAGUUGACCGCCUGGGGAAGUCGGGCCGCGAAGGUUGAAACUUCGAAAGNGUUAGUUGGCGGNGNGAGNGCGACGACGACGACGACGGAGGAGGAGG
RNAcentral lists this ribosomal RNA (627 nucleotides) under uncultured bacterium. RNAcentral describes it as "bacterial SSU rRNA". It matches the Rfam family "Bacterial small subunit ribosomal RNA", at positions 338 to 956 of the family's 1533-position model. The record is from RNAcentral.